AAAGUCGUAACAAGGUCUCCGUAGGUGAACCUGCGGAGGGAUCAUUAACGAAUGGUCUCUGUACCUUCAACCCCUCAAACCUGUGGACGUUUAAAAACGUGCUUCGGUGCUUCUGGCGCCGCCUUUAUGCAGAUAAGCAUUUGUGUCUGAACAUACAUGAGAAUUAAAACUUUCAACAAAGGAUCUCUUGGCUCUC
RNAcentral lists this unclassified non-coding RNA (196 nucleotides) under Ascomycota sp. RNAcentral describes it as "partial contains small subunit ribosomal RNA, internal transcribed spacer 1, and 5.8S ribosomal RNA". The stretch from base 1 to 47 matches the Rfam family "Eukaryotic small subunit ribosomal RNA", at positions 1785 to 1831 of the family's 1831-position model. The record is from RNAcentral. Lineage: Eukaryota; Fungi; Ascomycota.